This 253-nucleotide ribosomal RNA is filed under the name uncultured bacterium. RNAcentral's name for it is "partial 16S ribosomal RNA". It matches the Rfam family "Bacterial small subunit ribosomal RNA", at positions 524 to 776 of the family's 1533-position model. The record is from RNAcentral.
UACGUAGGGGGCAAGCGUUGUCCGGAUUUAUUGGGCGUAAAGCGCACGCAGGCGGUCUUAUAAGUUCCGAGUGACAGGUGGGGGCUCAACUCCCACAGGCCUCGAAAAACUGCAAGACUUGAGGAUGAGAGAGGGAUGCGGAAUUCCAGGUGGAGCGGUGAAAUGCGUAGAGAUCUGGAAGAACACCAAAGGCGAAGGCAGCAUCCUGGAUCACCCCUGACGCUCAUGUGCGAAAGCUAGGGGAGCGAACGGG